Molecule: long non-coding RNA, 602 nt
Filed under: Pan troglodytes (chimpanzee)
Lineage: Eukaryota; Metazoa; Chordata; Mammalia; Primates; Hominidae
Description: lincRNA
Source: RNAcentral
UGAAGGUCGAAGGGGAAGAAAAGCUGUAUCGAUUGUUGAGAUCUGGCGACUUGUUUAAAUUUCAUCAGCCUCACUUCUAUGAACUCUCAGGACAGCUCACAGUAUGGCAGCUGACAUUCUACAGAGUGAGCAGGUAAAGGAAAGAAAGAAAAGGCCUCAUGUGUACCAGCUCUCUGCUCUCCUUUGCCUUGGGACGUUCCAUCCCUGGAAGUUUCCCUGCCCACAUCUUUGUAGAGAGUCCAUUCUCCAAGCUUCAGUGUGUCAUCUGUGAGGACUGUGACCAACCUGGUACAUCGCCUCAGGGCAUUCAUUUCAGGCUCCUUCUAAAUGGUCAAGGUAUUAUGGUUGACCCUAAAGAAGCAUCAGCUUGGCUUUGCACCAAAGAAGUUUUUAGUCAAGUUGGAGAGAGAUCACUACUCAAAGAACGCGAGAGACUAAUGGAAGACAAUAUAUUGGCAGCAGACUAAAAGGCAGAAUGGUCACACUUCAAAAUGUUUGGUACAAGCUAUGGUGAUGUUAUUGAUCUUCUGAUUUGAUGUUCCUGUGAAGGUUCUAUGACCUAUUUUGAUAUGUAGACAGUGGUAAAAUGCUCAAAGCUCUUU